RNAcentral lists this ribosomal RNA (370 nucleotides) under uncultured organism. RNAcentral describes it as "bacterial SSU rRNA". It matches the Rfam family "Bacterial small subunit ribosomal RNA", at positions 526 to 896 of the family's 1533-position model. The record is from RNAcentral.
CGUAGGGUGCGAGCGUUAAUCGGAAUUACUGGGCGUAAAGCGUGCGCAGGCGGUUUUUUAAGACAGGCGUGAAAUCCCCGGGCUCAACCUGGGAACUGCGCUUGUGACUGGAAGGCUAGAGUACGGUAGAGGGGGAUGGAAUUCCGCGUGUAGCAGUGAAAUGCGUAGAUAUGCGGAGGAACACCGAUGGCGAAGGCAAUCCCCUGGACCUGUACUGACGCUCAUGCACGAAAGCGUGGGGAGCAAACAGGAUUAGAUACCCUGGUAGUCCACGCCCUAAACGAUGUCAACUGGUUGUUGGGUCUUUACUGACUCAGUAACGAAGCUAACGCGUGAAGUUGACCGCCUGGGGAGUACGGCCGCAAGGUUG